RNAcentral lists this ribosomal RNA (253 nucleotides) under uncultured bacterium. RNAcentral describes it as "partial 16S ribosomal RNA". It matches the Rfam family "Bacterial small subunit ribosomal RNA", at positions 524 to 776 of the family's 1533-position model. The record is from RNAcentral.
UACGGAGGGUGCGAGCGUUAUUCGGAAUUACUGGGCGUAAAGCGCGUGUAGGCGGGGAAGCAAGUCUGAUGUGAAAGCCCUGGGCUUAACCUGGGAAGUGCAUUGGAAACUGUUUUCCUUGAGUACUGGAGAGGAAGGGAGAAUUCCCGGUGUAGAGGUGAAAUUCGUAGAGAUCGGGAGGAACACCAGUGGCGAAGGCGACCUUCUGGACGGUUACUGACGCUGAGACGCGAAAGCGUGGGGAGCAAAUAGG